RNAcentral lists this ribosomal RNA (568 nucleotides) under uncultured bacterium. Its description in RNAcentral is "bacterial SSU rRNA". It matches the Rfam family "Bacterial small subunit ribosomal RNA", at positions 50 to 611 of the family's 1533-position model. The record is from RNAcentral.
AACACAUGCAAGUCGAGCGGUAACAGGUGUAGCAAUACAUGCUGACGAGCGGCGAACGGGUGAGUAAUGCUUCGGAAUCUGCCCAAUGGUGGGGAAUAACCAGCCGAAAGGUUGGCUAAUACCGCGUAAGCCCUACGGGGGAAAGCAGGGGAUCGCAAGACCUUGCGCCGAUGGAUGAGCCGAAGUCGGAUUAGCUAGUUGGUAGGGUAACGGCCUACCAAGGCGACGAUCCGUAGCUGGUCUGAGAGGACGACCAGCCACACUGGGACUGAGACACGGCCCAGACUCCUACGGGAGGCAGCAGUGGGGAAUAUUGGACAAUGGGGGAAACCCUGAUCCAGCGACGCCGCGUGUGUGAAGAAGGCCUGCGGGUUGUAAAGCACUUUUAGUGGGGAUGAAAAGCUCAGGGCUAACACCUCUGGGUCUUGACCUAACCCACAGAAAAAGCACCGGCUAACUCUGUGCCAGCAGCCGCGGUAAUAUAGAGGGUGCGAGCGUUAAUCGGAAUUACUGCGCGUAAAGCGUGCGUAGACGGUUACGUAAGUCGGGUGUGAAAGCCCCGGGCUCA